RNAcentral lists this ribosomal RNA (197 nucleotides) under uncultured bacterium. RNAcentral's name for it is "partial 16S ribosomal RNA". It matches the Rfam family "Bacterial small subunit ribosomal RNA", at positions 335 to 524 of the family's 1533-position model. The record is from RNAcentral.
ACUCCUACGGAAGGCAGCAGUGGGGAAUUUUGGACAAUGGGCGCAAGCCUGAUCCAGCCAUGCCGCGUGAGUGAAGAAGGCCUUCGGGUUGUAAAGCUCUUUCGGACGGAAAGAAAUCGCGCAGGCUAAUACCCUGCGCGGAUGACGGUACCGUCAUAAGAAGCACCGGCUAACUACGUGCCAGCAGCCGCGGUAAU